This 484-nucleotide ribosomal RNA is filed under the name uncultured bacterium. RNAcentral describes it as "partial 16S ribosomal RNA". It matches the Rfam family "Bacterial small subunit ribosomal RNA", at positions 29 to 507 of the family's 1533-position model. The record is from RNAcentral.
AUUGAACGCUGGCGGCAUGCUUUACACAUGCAAGUCGAACGGCAGCGCGGGCUUCGGCCUGGCGGCGAGUUGCGAACGGGUGAGUAAUGCAUCGGAACGUGCCCAGUAGUUGGGGAUAGCCCGGCGAAAGCCGGAUUAAUACCGCAUACGACCUGAGGGUGAAAGCGGGGGACCGAAAGGCCUCGCGCUAUUUGAUCGGCCGAUGUCGGAUUAGCUAGUUGGUGGGGUAAAGGCUUACCAAGGCGACGAUCCGUAGCUGGUCUGAGAGGACGACCAGCCACACUGGGACUGAGACACGGCCCAGACUCCUACGGGAGGCAGCAGUGGGGAAUUUUGGACAAUGGGGGCAACCCUGAUCCAGCCAUGCCGCGUGCGGGAAGAAGGCCUUCGGGUUGUAAACCGCUUUUGUUCGGGAAGAAAUCCUCUGGGCUAAUACCCCGGGGGGAUGACGGUACCGGAAGAAUAAGCACCGGCUAACUACGUG